CGCGUAGGCGGCCUUCUAAGUCAGACGUGAAAUCCCCGGGCUCAACCCGGGAACUGCGUCUGAUACUGGAAGGCUUGAAUCCGGGAGAGGGAUGUGGAAUUCCAGGUGUAGCGGUGAAAUGCGUAGAUAUCUGGAGGAACACCGGUGGCGAAGGCGGCAUCCUGGACCGGUAUUGACGCUGAGGCGCGAAAGCCAGGGGAGCAAACGGGAUUAGAUACCCCGGUAGUCCUGGCCCUAAACGAUGAAUGCUUGGUGUGGCGGGUAUCGAUCCCUGCCGUGCCGAAGCUAACGCAUUAAGCAUUCCGCCUGGGGAGUACGGUCGCAAGGCUGAA
Molecule: ribosomal RNA, 332 nt
Filed under: uncultured Acidobacteriota bacterium
Lineage: Bacteria; Pseudomonadati; Acidobacteriota
Description: bacterial SSU rRNA
Rfam family: Bacterial small subunit ribosomal RNA
Source: RNAcentral